AUUGAACGCUGGCGGCAUGCCUUACACAUGCAAGUCGAACGGUAACAGGUCUUCGGAUGCUGACGAGUGGCGAACGGGUGAGUAAUACAUCGGAACGUGCCCGAGAGUGGGGGAUAACGAAGCGAAAGCUUUGCUAAUACCGCAUACGAUCUCAGGAUGAAAGCAGGGGACCGCAAGGCCUUGCGCUCACGGAGCGGCCGAUGGCAGAUUAGGUAGUUGGUGGGAUAAAAGCUUACCAAGCCGACGAUCUGUAGCUGGUCUGAGAGGACGACCAGCCACACUGGGACUGAGACACGGCCCAGACUCCUACGGGAGGCAGCAGUGGGGAAUUUUGGACAAUGGGCGCAAGCCUGAUCCAGCCAUGCCGCGUGCAGGAUGAAGGCCUUCGGGUUGUAAACUGCUUUGUCCAGGGAAGAUGAUGACUGUACCUGGAGAAUAAGCCCCGGCUAACUUACGUGCCAGCAGCCGC
This 469-nucleotide ribosomal RNA is filed under the name uncultured bacterium. RNAcentral describes it as "bacterial SSU rRNA". It matches the Rfam family "Bacterial small subunit ribosomal RNA", at positions 30 to 518 of the family's 1533-position model. The record is from RNAcentral.